Long non-coding RNA from Panicum virgatum (switchgrass), 647 nucleotides. RefSeq lists it as uncharacterized. The record is from RefSeq and is a predicted model, not a curated record. Lineage: Eukaryota; Viridiplantae; Streptophyta; Magnoliopsida; Poales; Poaceae. The transcript has 3 exons.
UGCCGUCACGCCAGCCCGAGCCGCGGGUGCCGACGCCGCCUCUCCUCCGCCAGCUCUCACUGGGUCCAAGCGCUCCGCCGUCCGCGCGCCGCCGCACCACGCUCGCGCCGGCCUAUCGUGCAACACGACUGCGCCUCACGGCUCGGGAUGAACAAUUAAAGGUAUGUUGUUUCCUUUGUACAGGACCCUGAUGGCGUCAUGUGUUUGAGCUCAUUCAGAGGGUGAAGACACCUCAGCCUCUUAGACAAGUCAAGCUUCAUACUGCAGAUAAGACACUUGUAAAUGUGUCCAUAGAAACUGGAUACUCUUCCGAGCUCUGAACAGUAAAUAAUUCCAUCCACACUGUUUCAGGUGCUCUUAUGCAGGCAAGAGGUGGCUAGCCCUGCCAGUGGAUAUCUCGCGGAUGUUGGAACUGAGCCAAGUGCUGAUAACUAUGGUCUUCAACACUAAGAAGGUGGGGGAAUCCUGAAGAUUGAAUAUUUCAUUAUUUCUAUUGGUAAAUGAGAUCAUGUGGUCCAAUGAGAAAAUUUGAUAGUUAUUAGAUAAAGAUAAAUCUGGUUGCAUGGUGAGCUUGGACACGAGUUUGCUAUUUAGUUCAUGUGGUCCAAUGCAUACAAAUUGACAAUGCAUAAUUACUCAUUUGUUUA